AUGAAACUCUUAUGCUGAAACUGCCGGGGACUUGGGAAUGCCCCGGCAAUUCGUGCUUUGCUGGAUGUCCAGCGAAGCUGCAGCCCAGAUGUGAUGUUUUUAUCGGAGACAUACUUAGAAAGUUAUCCGGCCGAGUGCCUGAGGAGGAGACUGAAGAUGGACCAAAAGAUGGUCUGUUUUGUAGAUAGUAGGAAGGGAGGACUGCUGCUGUUUUGGAAGAAAGAAAUCAAGAUUCAUCGAUUAGAACUUGAUCCUAUGUUUAUCGAUGUACGGGUAGAAGAUGAAAGGAAUAACGUCUGGAGACUAACGGGUAUGUAUGGGGAGUUUAAAUGGGCGAACAAAUACAAUACGUGGGAUAGGAUGCGUCGGCUGCAUCAUAACAACAAUUUACCAUGGCUCCUUAUUGGGGACUUCAAUGAAAUUCAGUUUUUGAGUGAGAAAGAAGGAGGCAACCCAAGACCGCCAUAG
RNAcentral lists this ribosomal RNA (468 nucleotides) under Triticum aestivum (bread wheat). RNAcentral's name for it is "partial small subunit ribosomal RNA". The record is from RNAcentral. Lineage: Eukaryota; Viridiplantae; Streptophyta; Magnoliopsida; Poales; Poaceae.